CAAUAGCGUAUAUUUAAGUUGUUGCAGUUAAAAAGCUCGUAGUUGGAUUUCGGGUGGGACGCAGCGGUCUCGCAUUGCGUUUGUACUGCUGCAGCCCUCCUUCUUGCCGGGGGCGGCCUCUCGGACUUCACUGUCUGGGGGUCAGAAUCGGCGAUGUUACUUUGAGUAAAUUAGAGUGUUCAAAGCAAGCUUACGCUCUGAAUAUAAUAGCAUGGGAUAACACGACAGGACUCUGGCCUAUCGUGUUGGUCUAUAGGACCAGAGUAAUGAUUAAGAGGGACAGUCGGGGGCAUUCGUAUUCCGUUGUCAGAGGUGAAAUUCUUGGAUUUAUGAAAGACUAACAUCUGCGAAAGCAUUUGCCAAGGAUGUUUUCAUUGA
This 378-nucleotide ribosomal RNA is filed under the name uncultured eukaryote. RNAcentral's name for it is "partial 18S ribosomal RNA". It matches the Rfam family "Eukaryotic small subunit ribosomal RNA", at positions 592 to 976 of the family's 1831-position model. The record is from RNAcentral.